ACGCUCGACACCUACGAGGCAGCAGUGGGGAAUAUUGCACAAUGGGGGAAACCCUGAUGCAGCGACGCCGCGUGAGCGAAGAAGUAUUUCGGUAUGUAAAGCUCUAUCAGCAGGGAAGAAAAUGACGGUACCUGACUAAGAAGCCCCGGCUAACUACGUGCCAGCAGCCNCGGUAAUCUGAGCGGGCUGGCAAGGC
RNAcentral lists this ribosomal RNA (196 nucleotides) under uncultured bacterium. RNAcentral describes it as "partial 16S ribosomal RNA". It matches the Rfam family "Bacterial small subunit ribosomal RNA", at positions 326 to 539 of the family's 1533-position model. The record is from RNAcentral.